CUCCCAGUGGCGUAGUUGGUCAACGCGUUCGAUUGCAAACCGAGAGAUUACCUGUUUGAUUCAGGUCUAGGAGA
Non-coding RNA from Xylariales sp. No.14919, 74 nucleotides. The record is from the annotation of a GenBank genome assembly. NCBI's taxonomy places the organism in Eukaryota, Fungi, Ascomycota, Sordariomycetes, Xylariales.